RNAcentral lists this long non-coding RNA (195 nucleotides) under Chinchilla lanigera (long-tailed chinchilla). Its description in RNAcentral is "lncRNA (ENSCLAG00000024088.1)". Lineage: Eukaryota; Metazoa; Chordata; Mammalia; Rodentia; Chinchillidae. The record is from RNAcentral.
CUGGCUUGGGAGGGCAUCCUCUGCUACACCAUAAGCACAUUGUUACUAAAGAGUAUUCUACUAGAUUGGAGUGUUCCUUCUGGCAUGGGGGUUUAAGAAGCAAGCAGCUCGGUGUGUCUUGCUUUUGGAGAGAGCCAAAGGAUUGUAUUACACAGCUGGGAAGCUGCUCUACUGUAUAUACUGGAAUAAAAUCGG